AAAGUCGUAACAAGGUUUCCGUAGGUGAACCUGCGGAAGGAUCAUUAUCGUACAAAAUGUGAGGGGCAUGCGUGGGCUGUCGCUGACUCAAAGUCGUGCACGCCCGAGUGUGUCCUCUCACAUAAAUAAUCCAUCUCACCCUUUGUGCAUCACCGCGUGGGCACCCUUUGGGAUCAUCUCGGAGGGGGCUCGCGUUUUCACACAAACCCCCCUUUUAAAAGUGUAGAAUGACCUCAUUUAUGCGCUAACCCGCAAUCAAUACAACUUUCAACAACGGAUCUCUUGGCUCUCGCAUCGAUGAAGAACGCAGCGAAAUGCGAUACGUAAUGUGAAUUGCAGAAUUCAGUGAGUCAUCGAAUCUUUGAACGCACCUUGCGCCCCUUGGUAUUCCGAGGGGCACACCCGCUUGAGUGUCGUGAAAACCUCAACCUCCUUGGUCUCUUCUGGAGACCAAAGCAGGCUUGGACUUUGGAGGCCUUUGCUGGCACCUCUCUUUUGAAGGCCAGCUCCUCUUAAACAAAUUAGCAGGGUCCUCUUUGCCGAUCCUCGACGUGUGAUAAGAUGUUUCCAUGUCUUGGUUUCUGGCUCUGUCACUUUUGGGACCCGCUUCUAACCGUCUUGAGACCUUGCGUCGAGACAACGUUCGAGCAUGUCUCCCUUUUCUCGGGAAGCUCCCUCGACCCCACGAACCCUUGACCUCAAAUCGGGUGAGACUACCCGCUGAACUUA
RNAcentral lists this ribosomal RNA (729 nucleotides) under Lactarius subdulcis. RNAcentral's name for it is "eukaryotic LSU rRNA". The stretch from base 263 to 416 matches the Rfam family "5.8S ribosomal RNA". The record is from RNAcentral. Lineage: Eukaryota; Fungi; Basidiomycota; Agaricomycetes; Russulales; Russulaceae.